UAGCUGCAUGACGAUGCGGCACGUGUGUUAUCUGGGCCAUCGGCUUUUUAGACUUUGUGUUUAGAGUCAAUGGGCGCAAGAAGGGAUGUGUUAUGGACUUCGUAUCGAGUUAGGAGCCAAUGGCGAGAGGCAGUCCUCGAUGAUCAAUAAUGAUCUAACCACUCGUGAAGAGUGGAUGCUUUUUUACAUGAUUGCUUUAUUUUUGCAUUCCAUAUUUCUUAAUAUAAUUGAUCCUUGUUGCUUAAUCUUUGAUGCAUAAUGGGGGGAUAAAUAAUUGUUAGGAAACCGGAGUCACUGAGCAAAAUAGUUGCUCAUUAGACUCUUUGUUUUGCAGGUAACCCGUAGUAGUAGGUUCCAUUUGGGAUCGGAGGAGCACAAAGCUGUUGGUGUAGAUUUGCUACAUUUUGCAAACACGUACGUUUUGUAUUAUGUAAGAUAUGGUUUUGAACUUCGGCCGAGCAUGUAUAAAGUUUUGAUGUGAUUGAACUUAAAGUAUAUAAAUAAGAAAAGGUUUGUGAAAUGCUUGGAUUCCGGAUCGGGGGUGUUACAACGAAGGUGGUAUCAGAGCAUGGUUCACUUUGCUCACUUGGGAACCUGUUUUCAAUAAUUUAUCGAGUCAAAGGUGUUGCAAAAGGUAGAAUAGGAAACCAACAUGC
RNAcentral lists this long non-coding RNA (656 nucleotides) under Brassica napus (rape). Its description in RNAcentral is "long non-coding RNA (BNAP_LNC001625)". Lineage: Eukaryota; Viridiplantae; Streptophyta; Magnoliopsida; Brassicales; Brassicaceae. The record is from RNAcentral.